CCUACGGGAGGCAGCAGUAGGGAAUCUUCCACAAUGGGCGAAAGCCUGAUGGAGCAACGCCGCGUGGGUGAAGAAGGUCUUCGGAUCGUAAAACCCUGUUGUUAGAGAAGAAAGUGCGUGAGAGUAACUGUUCACGUUUCGACGGUAUCUAACCAGAAAGCCACGGCUAACUACGUGCCAGCAGCCGCGGUAAUACGUAGGUGGCAAGCGUGAUACGGAUUUAUGGGGCGUAAAGGGAACGCAGGCGGUCUUUUAAGUCUGAUGUGAAAGCCCUCGGCUUAACCGGAGUAGUGCAUUGGAAACUGGGAGACUUGAGUGCAGAAGAGGAGAGUGGAACUCCAGGUGUAGCGGUGAAAUGCGUAGAUAUAUGGAAGAACACCAGUGGCGAAAGCGGCUCUCUGGUCUGUAACUGACGCUGAGGUUCGAAAGCGUGGGUAGCAAACAGGAUUAGAUACCCGAGUAGUC
RNAcentral lists this ribosomal RNA (465 nucleotides) under uncultured bacterium. RNAcentral's name for it is "partial 16S ribosomal RNA". It matches the Rfam family "Bacterial small subunit ribosomal RNA", at positions 338 to 795 of the family's 1533-position model. The record is from RNAcentral.